UACAGAGGGUGCAAGCGUUGUCCGGAAUUAUUGGGCGUAAAGAGCUCGUAGGCGGUCUGUCGCGUCUGCUGUGAAAACUCGGGGCUUAACCCCGGGCCUGCAGUGGGUACGGGCAGACUAGAGUGCGGUAGGGGAGACUGGAAUUCCUGGUGUAGCGGUGAAAUGCGCAGAUAUCAGGAGGAACACCGGUGGCGAAGGCGGGUCUCUGGGCCGUAACUGACGCUGAGGAGCGAAAGCGUGGGGAGCGAACAGG
This 253-nucleotide ribosomal RNA is filed under the name uncultured bacterium. RNAcentral's name for it is "partial 16S ribosomal RNA". It matches the Rfam family "Bacterial small subunit ribosomal RNA", at positions 524 to 776 of the family's 1533-position model. The record is from RNAcentral.